CCCGGCCGGAGCAGGGCCAGCCCCGGGGCUGGGGAAGCGGGCCCGGCCGGAGCAGGGCCAGCCCCGGGGGGGGAAGCGGGCCCGUCAUGCUGGGCAUGGAGGAGCCAUCGGCCCCGUGUCCCACUCAGUCCCUGCAGCCGCUCCAUGCGACCCCCGGAGCCUCCCACUGACCCGUGGGGGACCUGCCCAGCCCGCCGUGAGCUGGGACAGGAUCCUGCUGCUCGCUUGCAGGGGAUGCCUAAAGGCGUCCAUCCCCGCGGGCCGCGUCUUUCGGGUGACAUGACAGCCCGGUCUCUGCCCAGCUCAGUGUGGACGCGAAGGAGCUCUGUGGCUUUUAAUGAGGGGAGGCUGCUUCGCCGCCCCACCCCCCGGCUUGAUCAGAGCCCGAGAAACGCCCUAGAAAGAGCAGAUCAGACCUGCGGUUUUACCAGCGUGGAACCCGCGGGCUGCCCGGGGCCAGAUGCUGAGCUUGUGGUGUCUGGGUGGCAGGGCCUCUCCCCUCGCUGCUGGACCAUCAUGCAGAAGAUAGAGUCAGAGCAACUGGAGAGGCUGCGUCGUGCAAACCAAGACCUUCUGGAAAGGCUCAAAGCGAAGCAGGAAGAAAUCAAGAAAAGACUUCCUCGCAAGCCACUAUCAGCGUGUUCUCUUUCCAGAAGAACAACUCAUGCAGAGAGAGCUGUCCCUGUUCCUAAGAGAGGGAAAGAGAACCAAGGCCAUGCGAGGAAGGCCGCGACGGACCCUGUGACACUCGUGUCUGUGGAACCCGGAGCCAGUGCCGCCAGGGCAGCCCUUCGUUUGCCAUUGAAACACGUAGCGUGCAGCAGGGAGGGGAGGGGGGUGCCACACCACAGAGCGGGGGCAUAUCCGGGUUCCCCCAGGGCAGAACGAAGCUUCACACCGGCAGCGUCCAUCACCAGAGAAACCUCCCGAGUGGCCAGAGACGGCAACGCCCUGAGAACCCCAGAGGAAGAAUCCACCCCUGGGAAACACAGAGAGGGCAGAAAGCAAUCCACCGUGCUCCACAGCGCCCAGGAGAGGGGCAGGCCAAGGGCUGAGGCAGAGACGAUGCUGGGCAGGAUCCCAGCGGAUGGGAAUGGCUGGCGGCGAGCGGCCGUUAGAGACUCCAGGACUCCCAAACCAAUUCUGCUGACACUUGGGGGUAAAGAAGCCAAGAAGGAAGCUGGCCGUGUGACUUUUCUGUCGGACCCUGAGGAAUACACCAUCCCUGCCGCUAGCUGGUCAGCACGUCCUUUCUUGGGCUACGACUGGAUUGCAGGGCUGCUGGAGACGGACUCGUCGCUGUCAGAGAAAUCUGAGCAGUACUUCUCUGAGCUCAGGGAGUUCCGACAGGUGAACAAGGAAGCAUGUGUCCAUGAGGAAGACCUGGGGCCAGAGGUACCAGAUUACUUGGCUCCUGAGCAAGAAGCAGAUUUGGUUUCCAGUUCCCAUCAGUGUGUUUAUUGCUAUCGAUUAAACGGGCGUCUGUUUACCGUCCCUGUGGGUUCACAGUCUGCCUGCCCCGUGUGUAAGACUCCAAGAGCCCGACGGCCUCCAGAGACGCUGGAGGAACCAGCCUACGUCAGGGUCAGCAUUCCCAGGUCCACCCUCCUGCCUGCCUAUAAGUACAAAAUCCAUUGCAGGAAGAGCUUUGAACCGGCAGACGAUCUGGCUUUACCCUCGAUUGGAAAGAGCGUGGGGAAAAACUUGCCUGCUUUUCCAACUCCUACACUGCCUGGCCGGCUGGGAAAACAUCAUCCCCUCCAGCAGCCCCACGCUUAGCAGUUUGGAUCUGCGAACUUCACUGCAACAAAAACCCACUGACCAUUCUCACCUGACCUUGGCACCCCGAAUGUCAGGAGGAACCAGAACGGACCAGCUCCUAAACCUGUCCCGCUCAGCUCAUUUCAGACUUCGUAAUGCUUCUUAGCGGAGAGCUCAAGACAAGCCACUAUGCUACACAACAACGCCGAAUUAAAAUCCUACUGUCUCAACCGUAUGAGCUGCUGACCUGAUUACCCAGGGGCCGUGUGGGAUACUGGGAGUGAGUAGAAAUGGCAGCGUUUGCCUAAAAAUGAACCUUUAGAGGAGAGCUUUUUCCUAGCCCUGCAAGUGCAAACGCCGUCGCAAAAAUCCACGGGCACGUGUGUAUUGGAAUUGCGCAAGCUGCGAGGCGACAAUUGCAGAAAUUGCUUGCAGUUGGCCAGUUUUGGCCUCUAACUGGCCACUGGUACAUACAGUCACCGCAGUUGUGUGCGUGCGUUGCACUUUCCCACCCAGGGAUGUAAAUUGAGUGUGCGUGGUCAGUUGCUGUAAGAGAUAUCUGGUAGGUUAAGAAAACAGGAUGACUAGUUAGUACUGUUCCCUGUAAUAAAAGAGCCAUAGGAUAUAUUGCAAUAGACACGUCCAUUCAGAGUUCAUCCACCCAGCUCAUAAAAGCAAUACAGUUGACUCAUCAAACCAAGAAUUUUGGCUCUCUGGACAAAGAGUUGGGACUGUGAGCUGCAUGGCACAGCAUGGGGUAUGCAAAGAUGCUCAAUAUCAUGCUUCCAGGAGGUUUGGAACAUGAGUAAUUCUUACAUUAAAGAAGAGUGACUGUGCUUUAGUUCUAAUAAGAAAAACAUGUUUGUUUUUGUGCAUUAUCUUUGGACAGAGGAUUUGGUGGAUCAUGUUCAGCAUAAAUCGGGGGGAAGAAACCAUUGUCAAAAGAAAGAGGUGUUUUAUGAAUCACAAAGCCACAAUAUGUCUUAGAACAUUCUGAAGUCAUGUUUACCUCUGAUUGUAAAAGGCUGGUGGGAAGGCAUUUUGAAGACAUGCUCAUGGAGGUUUUUAAUUGCAUUGAAAUAAUGUGUGAGAGUUUGUUUGAGGCCUGUUACGUGGUGUGGUUUUAUUUUCCCUUUUGAAAACAAUAAAGAAGGAGUUUAUAUUUUCUGGUAUAACAUCUGGAAUGUAGAGUUCUGUUAUAGGAAUUCUAUGGGUUGUAGUCAAGCCUUCUUAACUCAUAAGUAAGGCUACGAUUUACUCAUGGGUAUUUUUAGUAUAAGUUAUGGACUGGUCUUGGGCAAUAAACAAAAAAAUUCAUGCCUGUGACCUAGCUAUGACUUAUCCUAUAAAUACUCCUGGCUAAAUCUUGGGGGCUGUUGCUGCGGAGGUUACCCCAGGGGGCUGCUGGUGCGGGAAGCCGGUGGAGCCCCGGGGCCGCUCCAGCCAUGCUGGUGCGGCUGGCUGCAGGGCCACCUGAACAGCUGGCCCCGGAGCCAGCCACACUGGCCACUGCAGAAGUCAAUGGAGGUCGCUGAAAGUCACGGAAUCCGUGACUUCCGUGACCGACCCAGAGCCCUACUCUUAUGAGUAUUUAGAAAUCUUGGUCCAAACUUAUCCCUAGGGUGUAACACCAUUCACUUCUAUGGGCUUAGCCCAGGGAUGAGUUUGGCUCAUUGUCUGUUAGUGUUACAGAGCUUACUACAGGCAUAAAAUGCAGCUUGUGAAUUUAAAAAAAAAAAAAAAAGCGGGAAUUUAUUUUACAAGACUAUAAAUGGAAUAAUUUAAAUAUUUAAUUGAAAGCAAUUUUGUUUUAAAUGAAGCAUUCCUCUUUAGUGUCGGAAGUUUAGACAUGGUUGCAUUGGGUGACUGGAUGAGAAAUAAAAAAUGAAACUGA
This is a non-coding RNA of Caretta caretta (loggerhead turtle), 3655 nucleotides long. The record is from RefSeq and is a predicted model, not a curated record. NCBI's taxonomy places the organism in Eukaryota, Metazoa, Chordata, Testudines, Cheloniidae.